RNAcentral lists this long non-coding RNA (192 nucleotides) under Pongo abelii (Sumatran orangutan). RNAcentral's name for it is "lincRNA". The record is from RNAcentral. Lineage: Eukaryota; Metazoa; Chordata; Mammalia; Primates; Hominidae.
CCUCCUUUUCUUUGUCAUGCAUGCAUAUUAAUUGAGUAUGGAGAAUAUCUAUGCUUGUUCAGGCUAGCCAACGUAGGACAGUUUAUUUCAAGAGAGGAGUCAUGGGUUGAAUGCUGAAAACACGCACAGCCAAGCCCAGAUGCCAAUCUUGCUAGCAGCCUUCCUUUACCUUCAAGACGGGGCCAAGGCUCA